UUGGUCGGGUUUUUGGACUGACACCUCUAAAAAUUGUCACAUCAGAUAUUGUCUAGUAUGUUUCGUUACAUAUCACCAUCAAUCUUACGAUUUUAAAACGUGUCAACUUGGGAGAGGUUUUCACACCCUUAUAAAGAAUGCUUCGUUCUCUCUCC
This is a long non-coding RNA of Cucurbita maxima (winter squash), 155 nucleotides long. RefSeq lists it as uncharacterized. Lineage: Eukaryota; Viridiplantae; Streptophyta; Magnoliopsida; Cucurbitales; Cucurbitaceae. The record is from RefSeq and is a predicted model, not a curated record. The transcript is spliced from 2 exons.